Long non-coding RNA from Papilio xuthus (Asian swallowtail), 1534 nucleotides. RefSeq lists it as uncharacterized. Lineage: Eukaryota; Metazoa; Arthropoda; Insecta; Lepidoptera; Papilionidae. The record is from RefSeq and is a predicted model, not a curated record. The transcript is spliced from 3 exons.
UCAGUUGAAUACUUAUUGAAUGUUGAUCACAAAUAUGAUGAAGUGUUUACAUUUGCCAAUAUUAUUUGAUUGUUGCGUUGUUCUUUUAUUUAGAAAAGUUACUAAUUUUAUAAAGACUUUAGAAUUGUUUAUUUAUGUAGCGCAUGAGCAUGAGCAUGGCUAACGCCUCUUGUGGGUUCGAGACGCCGUCUUUACUUUUGACAUGGUGCGAUGUUUCAGAUGGUAUGACGUAGGAAGCGUCUCGCAGGCAUAUAUUGGCUGGAGUAGUCUGAUCUGAGUAGUAGUUUUGGUGCUCGCACUUUACCAUGAUGAUGCCCACAAAGUCUAGAAGGCCUAUUGUUGAUGGUUAUAAGAAUAACGCAGUCUCCGACAUAUUAUAAUUAUUAUUUUUUUUCAUUUACUAACUGAUAGGGGGAGCUUUUUACACGUUUGUGUUAUGUUUAUUACAUUUUCAACUGCAAGUUCUAUGAGAACAACUAUCGCUAAUGGAAAUUUUCAUAACAAGCUUCCUGAUUUGAUCUGCCCUUAGUCCGAGCUUAGUACUGAAUCCCGCCCUAAAACUCCAGAAUAAGGCGAUCCUAUUACCUAAACGUGAGUUCCUCACGCCUUACAAUUCCGCUUUGAGCUGUCCCUCCGUGUAAUGUCUGUCGACAAAUUCGAGUUUCAUAGCAUGUAUCUUUAGAUAAAGAUAAAUGUAGCCUGCAUAUGAAAAUCAUAAUAUGAUGCGGGUUCGCUGGCCGCGUGACAUCUCUCUAUGGCCCUGGACACAUUAUUGUUAUCACUGACCUUUUGACCAGACGCUAAUAAAUUCUCGAUAUGCGUUUAUUAUUAACGUCGUGGCCAAGACAUGAAAACCCAUUAUGCAAUAAGUGAUCAACGCGCAGCGUCCAGCUUUCAUUUAGAACAGGACACACGAUUCGCACCAAAAAGAAAUAAAAAUAAAAGAAAUUAAAAGAAUCAUAUAUACUAUUUAAUCUAUUUUAUAUUAUUAUCUGAAUGUUGGAACCCAACUGGAUUCUUAAUGAAAAGAUGCAAACACUAAAUGUUAAGUGAAAGCUAACUAACACAUCUAAAACGGCAUCAAAUUCGGUUAACUCGUUUCUGAAAAUUCACGAGCAGACGCCGACCUUUAACAUAUUUGUUAUAUGUAUGUCAGGGCGCAGUCAGGCGCUCGUCAUGGACCCGGAGCGACAGCCGCUGCUCGCGCGUGUUCCAACACGACACGCACACCACAGGUACAAACAAACCAUCGCUCAUUAUGUCAAUACUAUGUCAGCAACUAGGUACUUCUUAUAAUUGGUUGUUUAAUAUAUACGUUUCAUUAAUAUCUCACUGUAAAUAGAGCAAUCGCUUAACAAACCUAGAAACUUAGCUAAUUAACAAAAAAAAAAAUGUAGAACUUUUGUCCACCACCAAUCCGAUCGAUAAGUUUCCGGAGAAGUUACGUGUCAAAUAAAUAUUGGCAGGUGGGUGAGCUGUGGGCGCUGUCGGCGGGCGAGGUGGCGGCGGCGCGGCGCGCGGCGGGGUGGCGGGG